ACUCCUACGGGAGGCAGCAGUGGGGAAUUUUGGACAAUGGGCGAAAGCCUGAUCCAGCAAUGCCGCGUGAGUGAAGAAGGCCUUCGGGUUGUAAAGCUCUUUUGUCAGGGAAGAAACGGUGAAAGCUAAUAUCUUUUGCUAAUGACGGUACCUGAAGAAUAAGCACCGGCUAACUACGUGCCAGCAGCCGCGGUAAUACGUAGGGUGCAAGCGUUAAUCGGAAUUACUGGGCGUAAAGCGUGCGCAGGCGGUUUUGUAAGUCUGAUGUGAAAUCCCCGGGCUCAACCUGGGAAUUGCAUUGGAGACUGCAAGGCUAGAAUCUGGCAGAGGGGGGUAGAAUUCCACGUGUAGCAGUGAAAUGCGUAGAUAUGUGGAGGAACACCGAUGGCGAAGGCAGCCCCCUGGGUCAAGAUUGACGCUCAUGCACGAAAGCGUGGGGAGCAAACAGGAUUAGAAACCCCGGUAGUCCCAUGAU
RNAcentral lists this ribosomal RNA (475 nucleotides) under uncultured organism. Its description in RNAcentral is "partial 16S ribosomal RNA". It matches the Rfam family "Bacterial small subunit ribosomal RNA", at positions 335 to 801 of the family's 1533-position model. The record is from RNAcentral.